CAACGGCUUGCAGCUCGGCAUGGAUAUUAAGCCUAUACAUCUGCCCCCCAUUUCCAGAGCAGUCCAGCUGAAGUCAGCAAAGAAGCUUCAGCAUGCAAAGGAAGU
This is a long non-coding RNA of Etheostoma spectabile (orangethroat darter), 105 nucleotides long. RefSeq lists it as uncharacterized. The transcript is spliced from 3 exons. Lineage: Eukaryota; Metazoa; Chordata; Actinopteri; Perciformes; Percidae. The record is from RefSeq and is a predicted model, not a curated record.